AGCGAACGCUGGCGGCAGGCUUAACACAUGCGAGUCGAGCGGGCACACAUGAGGAGUCAGCGGCAGACGGGUGAGUAACGCGUGGGAACGAGCACUACGGUUCGGACUAACUUUGGGAAACUUGUGCUAAUACGGGACACGUGCGGGUACAGCAUAGUUUAUCUGCCGAAGGAUCGGCCGGCGUCGGACUAGCUAGUUGGUGAGGUUAUGGCGCACCAAGGCGACGAUCAGUAGCUGGUCUCAGAGGAUGGUCAGCCACUCUGGGACUGAGACACGGCCCAGACUCCUGCGGGAGGCAGCAGUGGGUAAUAUUGGACAAUCGGGGCAGCCCUGAUCCAGCCCGGCCGCGUGAGUGAUGACGGCCUUAGGGUUGUAAAGCUCUUUUCUCCGGGACGAUAAUGACGGUACCGGAGGAAUAAGCCCCGGCUAACUUCGUG
RNAcentral lists this ribosomal RNA (437 nucleotides) under uncultured bacterium. RNAcentral's name for it is "partial 16S ribosomal RNA". It matches the Rfam family "Bacterial small subunit ribosomal RNA", at positions 29 to 507 of the family's 1533-position model. The record is from RNAcentral.